Molecule: ribosomal RNA, 373 nt
Filed under: Discus catskillensis
Lineage: Eukaryota; Metazoa; Mollusca; Gastropoda; Stylommatophora; Endodontidae
Description: partial large subunit ribosomal RNA
Rfam family: Bacterial large subunit ribosomal RNA
Source: RNAcentral
CAUAGUCUGUUGAGUAUAAUAGAUGAACUCUGCUCAAUGAUUUUAAUAGCCGCAGUAAACUGACUGUGCUAAGGUAGCAUAAUAAUUUGUCCUCUAAUUAGGGUCUGGAAUGAAUGGAACAUAUAUAGCCUGUCUCAAUUACAUUUAUUUAAUUUACUUAGCAGGUGAAAAUACCCGCUUUUUUUGAUAGACGAGAAGACCCUUAGAAUUUUUAUUAUUUUCGUUGGGGCGACGUGUAUUCAAUUAACUUAAUUUUAUAACACAUGUCCAGUAAGAUUAAAUUACCUGAGGGAUAACAGCAUAAAAAUAAGUUUAUGACCUCGAUGUUGGACUAGGAUAUAAUGGUCAGAAACCAUUAUUGUUCUGUUCGAAC